CUCAAUUUUCUCAAAUUUACACCAUUGUGUUUGAAAAGUAACCUGUUUUUUUUUCUUCUCUCUCGCCUGAUCUUCUCUAAGUUCUGUAUACAAUGUCGGAUGGUCAGGAGAGUGAUAAGAACAUUGAGAUAUGGAAGAUUAAAAAACUUAUCAAGGCACUGGAAGCUGCUAGAGGCAAUGGCACCAGCAUGAUUUCACUUAUCAUGCCUCCACGUGAUCAAGUAUCUCGUGUUACCAAGAUGCUUGGAGAUGAGUUUGGAACUGCAUCAAAUAUUAAGAGCAGAGUGAAUCGCCAAUCUGUGCUUGGUGCAAUCACAUCUGCUCAGCAGAGGCUUAAGCUCUACAACAAGGUUCCACCAAAUGGGCUUGUUCUUUACACUGGAACAAUUGUGACUGAUGAUGGGAAAGAGAAGAAGGUUACAAUUGAUUUUGAGCCAUUCAAGCCCAUUAAUGCAUCACUCUAUCUUUGUGAUAACAAGUUCCACACUGAAGCCCUGAAUGAACUUUUGGAAUCUGAUGACAAAUUUGGAUUUAUCGUGAUGGAUGGGAAUGGGACUCUUUUUGGGACAUUGAGUGGCAACACGCGUGAGGUCCUUCAUAAAUUUAGUGUUGAUCUGCCCAAGAAACACGGAAGAGGAGGACAAUCAGCCUUGCGUUUUGCUCGUCUCCGGAUGGAGAAGCGACACAACUAUGUGAGGAAAACAGCAGAGCUUGCAACCCAAUUUUAUAUAAAUCCUGCCACCAGUCAGCCCAAUGUCUCCGGCCUGAUACUAGCUGGUUCUGCUGACUUUAAAACAGAGCUCAGUCAAUCUGAUAUGUUUGAUCCUCGUCUUCAGGCUAAGAUUCUAAAUGUGGUUGAUGUUUCUUAUGGAGGGGAAAAUGGUUUUAACCAAGCAAUUGAGCUGUCUGCUGAGAUCUUAGCCAAUGUGAAGUUUAUACAAGAGAAGAAAUUGAUAGGCAAGUACUUUGAGGAGAUUAGUCAGGACACUGGGAAGUACGUCUUUGGGGUGGAUGAUACGUUAAAAGUUCUGGAAAUGGGUGCUAUUGAGACACUUAUUGUGUGGGAAAAUCUGGAUAUUAUGAGGUAUGUGCUGAAAAAUAGCGGUUCUGGAGAAACAGUUAUCAGACACUUCAACAAGGAGCAGGAGGCUGAUCAGAGUAACUUCCGUGAUCCUGCUACAAAUGCAGAAUUAGAGGUUCAGGAAAAAUUGUCACUGCUUGAGUGGUUUGCUAAUGAGUACAGGAAAUUUGGUUGUAGUCUGGAAUUUGUCACCAACAAGUCACAAGAAGGAUCUCAAUUUUGCCGAGGUUUUGGUGGUAUUGGAGGACUCCUCCGUUAUCAGCUUGAUGUUCGAGCUUUUGAUGAGCUUUCUGAUGAUGGUGAGGUUUACGAAGACUCUGACUAGCAAUUACCAACUUCUCAAAUACCAGUGCAGAAGUUGAGCGGGAAAGCCUGUACUGGUGUGCAAGGGCUGUCGCCUUAUUUGUCCGCUCAUGUUCCAAGUGAAAUAUUUCUAAGAGCUCUUAAGAUGGAUGAUCUGCACGGCGAACCUAAAUUGGCAUCAAUUCCAUCCUGCGCUUGUCGAAUCCCGUUCAGUUUCCAAGUGAUUCAGUCUGUUGAAAGAAUGGAGAAUUAAAAACAAGCAGUGUGGCUGUUAUUUUCCUGUUGAAGAUGGAGAACAUCAAAAACUUUAUGCUAUGCUCUUCUUGGAGGAGUGAUGCAUAUGAAAUUAUGAAUAAUGCUAUUUAUAUUUUCUAUGAAGUGAUUAUGACUCUACGCAUGUAUUGGAGUAUUUAAUUUCGAUGAUUAUUUAAAGUUGUGGGAUCUUUUAUGAAUAUGGUAUGUUGACGAGAUC
Molecule: RNA transcript, 1856 nt
Organism: Solanum stenotomum
Lineage: Eukaryota; Viridiplantae; Streptophyta; Magnoliopsida; Solanales; Solanaceae
Gene name: eukaryotic peptide chain release factor subunit 1-3
Exons: 3
Source: RefSeq, a predicted model, not a curated record